Molecule: RNA transcript, 2610 nt
Organism: Panicum virgatum (switchgrass)
Lineage: Eukaryota; Viridiplantae; Streptophyta; Magnoliopsida; Poales; Poaceae
Gene name: ninja-family protein 5-like
Exons: 3
Source: RefSeq, a predicted model, not a curated record
GGACAUAUUCUCUCUCUUUUUUCCAUAAGUUAUUUUGACUUUUGCUUGAUGAUGUUAGAUCUACCAUAACACUUUUUAUUUUUCACCGUAAUAUCUUUAUGGCUACCUGUUGUGUUGUUCUUAUAUCUGGGCGAGCACCAUUGAUUUUACCCUUUAUUUUACCCCAUAGACCCAGAUCUACCACCUCACCAUCUUUCAUAGGUAUGCUUUUUAAUAGUCUCACCAGGCUUCAUCUGAUUUUCUACUAAAAAGUUAUUUGAAUUGUUUUAACCACACAUGUUCUUCUUAUCUGGCAAUCGUUAGCACUAAGUUAGGUAUUAGGUGAAUAUGUAGCCCUUACCUUUACACCUGCCGCGCGCCAUGGAAGCAUCGACCUCCUCCGAGACCACUUCUUUCCACCGAUUCCCAGAGCAUCAACGGUUCUCAAUUCCCAAAAAUUCAGCGAGAAAAAAACAUCAAUGCAUUACCGUUCUUUAUAUGGGUGAAAAAGCUCAGCAUCACCAGAUUUUUUUGUCAAAAAAAAACCUUUCUCACAUGCCAUGGUUACAUUUUUAUUAGCAGUGUUCAUAGAGUUCCUUUUAUGUUAAUUCUUUUAUUUAGCUCGAUAUUUCUAAAGAGAUGUUACUUGGUUAGCACUGCGCGGUAGUAGAUAUUUUCCCAGCCGCCUUGAAAACCCGUGGCCCGACAGAGGAAUCAUCCUCCCCAAACGUGUCAGUCCCUGAUCAAAAAAAAAAAGUGUCAGUCCCAACGCCCCACCGCGCCGUCGACACGUCACGCUAUGUUCUGCCCCCACCGCAGCGCGCCGGAGCCGAGCCGCGCAAGCCCCUGUCCCGGCUCGGCUCUUGGCGGCCCAACACGUGUCCGCGUUGUCCGACACGUGGCGAGCUGCCGUGCGCUCGUAGUCCCAUCCGACGAGCCUCCACCUCCCCCCCCCUACAAAACCCAAUUUUCCGCUCCCUAUUUCCGGCGAAAAAAAAUCAGCGAAAACCACCUCUCUUUUGUUCUCACCGAGGUCGCCUCUGCUCUCCAUCCGCUUCGGCUCGCCUCCUCCUCCUAUCCAUCCUGUUCCGCGCUCACGGUGAGGGAUCUGGUCUCUCGAAUUCCGCUUCGUUUCGCUGCGUGCGUGCUAGCUCCGCCGUUCUCCCGAUUUCACGGUGUGCUUCGUUUCGCUGCUUGCUGCAAUGCUACGUGCUUGGGGCGUGGAUUCUGUGUUAGCGGGGGAUGGGGUUUUUGUGGAAAAUCUGGUGCUGUCUGGUGCUUCGCUGAGCCCGGAAGAGCGUAAUCGGUUGCUGUCUUCUCUGUAGCUGAAUUUUUGGGCAUUGAGAAGCGUUCUUCUUCGGUGAAUCCGUUGGAGGAAUUGUCGUUCGGUGGGGACGCAUGGCGUCGAGGGAUUUCCUGGGCGGGUUCGGACGGGAGGGAGGAGCACCGGCGGGAGCCGGCGGGAGCGCAGCAACCGCCGAGUCGGACGAGAUCGAGCUCAGCCUCGGCCUGUCCCUCGGCGGCUACUUCGGCGCCGACCCGGCGCAGGACGCGAAGAAGCCGCGCCUCGUGCGGUCUUCCUCCAUCCCCUCGAUCUGCUCGCAGCCCGGAGGAUUCACCUCCGCCGCCGUCACGGCGCCGCCGUCCGACCUGCUCCGCACGUCCUCGCUCCCCAGCGAGUAUAUGGAGGAUCGGCUCCGUCGCCGCGCGAUGCAGAGCCAGCGGCGGCUCGAGGCCAAGCGCAAGCGCCUCGAGCGCCGGAACUCCAUGAACUCCGGCAGGUCCGCCACAAGCACAAGCGCCGGCGCCGGCCGCGACGAGGCCCUGGAGCAGACGGUGCCCAGCGGCUUCCAGUUCCGGCGCACGGUCGCCUUGCAGGGGACCACCUCGUCCAGCGCGCCGGAGCAAGGUGGUGGAGCCCCGUCGCAUAGCCCUCCCGCGACGAGCACAUCCUCGGACAACACUAGCGGUGGGCAGAGCAGCUUGCGAACCGCCGGGCGCGAGCAGCCGCUGCGAACCCUCCGGUCACUGACGAUGCGGACGGCGAGCACCGGCGACCUCCGCAACAGCAUGGUGGAGGACAUGCCGAUGGUCUCCUACAAGGUGGAGGGGCCCAGCGGCCGCAAGACCGACGGCUUCCUGUACAAGUACAGGAAGGGCGAGGAGGUCAGGAUAGUUUGCGUCUGCCACGGCAACUUCCUGACGCCGGCGGAGUUCGUGAAGCACGCCGGCGGCGGCGACGUCACGAACCCGCUAAGGCAUAUCGUCGUCAACCCACAGCAGUCGGUGUUCUUGUGAUCGUGGCGCGCGUGCUGCUGGUACAAGCAAAUCUAGAGGGGGAGGCGAGGAAGCAGACAGAAGCAGAAGCCUAAACUCUUGAGCAGGAGGCAGAAGCUUAAACUUUUUGAGGAGCUGGCAGAAGCAGAAGCUUAAACGUUUUUGAGGAGCAGACAGAAGCAGAAGCUUAAACUUCUUUUCUUUUUUGUUUCAUGGUGAUCAUAUGAUUAGUUAAUUAUGUCAGCGAGCUGGAUACUGCUGUAACUUGUAAGUUCAGAGUGAGCAAAUUGGAGGGUUCCGUGAGGUUAACAAGUUCCGAAAUGGACGCUGGCCACAGUUGAGGCCUUGAGGUCA